CGAACGCUGGCGGCGCGUCUUAAGCAUGCGAAGUCGGACGGCAAGGGUUGUGCUUGCACAACUCCUAGAGUGGCGGACUGGUGAGUAACGCGUGGGUGACCUGCCCUCGAGAUGGGGAUAGCCAUUAGAAAUAGUGGAUAAUACCGAAUACGCUCAUGACCCUGUGGGGAUAUGAGGAAAACAGGCUACGGCCUGGCUCGAGGAUGGGCCCGCGUCCCAUUAGCUAGUUGGUGAGGUAACGGCCACCAAGGCGACGAUGGGUAUCCGGCCUGAGAGGGUGUACGGACACAUUGGGACUGAGAUACGGCCCAAACUCCUACGGGAGGCAGCAGCUAAGAAUAUUCCGCAAUGGACGAAAGUCUGACGGAGCGACGCCGCGUGGAUGAAGAAAGGCCGGAAGGUUGUAAAAUCCUUUUGCUGAUGAAGAAUAAGUGUGGUAGGGAAUGACCGCAUGAUGACAUUAGUCGGUGAAUAAGCCCCGGCUAACUACGUGCCAGCAGCGGC
RNAcentral lists this ribosomal RNA (504 nucleotides) under uncultured bacterium. RNAcentral describes it as "bacterial SSU rRNA". It matches the Rfam family "Bacterial small subunit ribosomal RNA", at positions 30 to 518 of the family's 1533-position model. The record is from RNAcentral.